AUUGAACGCUGGCGGCAUGCUUUACACAUGCAAGUCGAACGGUAACAGGCCGCAAGGUGCUGACGAGUGGCGAACGGGUGAGUAAUGCAUCGGAACGUGCCCAGUCGUGGGGGAUAACGCAGCGAAAGCUGUGCUAAUACCGCAUACGAUCUAUGGAUGAAAGCGGGGGACCGAAAGGCCUCGCGCGAUUGGAGCGGCCGAUGUCAGAUUAGGUAGUUGGUGGGGUAAAGGCCUACCAAGCCAACGAUCUGUAGCUGGUCUGAGAGGACGACCAGCCACACUGGGACUGAGACACGGCCCAGACUCCUACGGGAGGCAGCAGUGGGGAAUUUUGGACAAUGGGCGCAAGCCUGAUCCAGCAAUGCCGCGUGCAGGAAGAAGGCCUUCGGGUUGUAAACUGCUUUUGUACGGAACGAAACGGUCUGGAUUAAUACCCGGGACUAAUGACGGUACCGUAAGAAUAAGCACCGGCGAACUACGU
This 481-nucleotide ribosomal RNA is filed under the name uncultured bacterium. RNAcentral's name for it is "partial 16S ribosomal RNA". It matches the Rfam family "Bacterial small subunit ribosomal RNA", at positions 30 to 506 of the family's 1533-position model. The record is from RNAcentral.